GAAAUAGCCCUCAUGCCCGUAUAAUGAGCAUGAAAUCGUUUAGGAGGAACAACCUUGGCAGUGGAAAGAGUUUCCAGCAAUGGAAGACAGAUGUUCGAGCAGAAAGCGGAAGAGGGAGAAGCGUCGGAGGUCUAACAGUGAGGGACGCAAAGUUUCUCAACCGAAAGAAACCACCACCACCUUCAAAACUCAACGAGUUGAUGGGCUUCGGCAAAUAGAUGAAGAAGGAAAACAGGUUUCUGCUUCUUCUGCUAAGUCCGGAAAAUCGCAGGGACUCUCCAAUGCUUCUAGUUUUCUCGAUAAGAUGAGAGCGAGGUUGUCCGGUGGGCACUUCAGAAUGCUUAAUGAGAAGCUCUAUACUUGCAGUGGAAAAGAGGCACUUGAUUAUUUUAAAGAAGACCCAGCCUUAUUUGAUGUGUAUCAUGCAGGAUAUCAAGAGCAAAUGUCACAUUGGCCUGAGCAGCCAGUUAAUAUUAUCAUAAAAUGGCUUACAGAUCACAGCCCUUCUCUGGUUGUGGCUGACUUUGGGUGUGGAGAUGCACGCCUUGCAAAAAAUGUGAAGAACAAAGUCUUCUCCUUUGAUCUUGUUUCAAAGGACCCUUCAGUAAUUGCUUGUGACAUGUCAAACAUACCUCUUGAUUCUUCAUCUGUGGAUGUUUCUGUCUUCUGUCUUUCACUAAUGGGAACUAACUACCCAAGUUACCUCAAGGAAGCAUACAGAGUACUUAAGCCAUGUGGUUCGCUUUUGAUAGCAGAAGUAAAGAGUAGGUUUGAUCCAAAUACAGGAGGAGCAGACCCCAAAAAGUUCACCAAGGCAGUUUGCGAGCUAGGAUUUUCUACAGCAUUCAAGGACUUCUCUAAUAAGAUGUUCAUUUUAUUAUACUUCAAGAAAAAGGAGGAGCAAAAUGUCAAAAAGCAAAUUGAAUGGCCUGAGCUGAAACCUUGUAUAUACAAGCGUCGCUGAGAGAUUAAUACUAAAACUCUUUUUUGUUCGUGAAGUUCUAGGUUUACUGAAGCUUUAUUUAUAUAUUUAAGCCAAAAAAUACUAGUAAUAAUAAGAUGUCUGUAAGCGAAGGCGUUCAGACCACAAGAAUAAACACGAUAAAUCAGGCUCAUUUUGUUGGGUUGGAACUUAUGUCUAAAUUUGAUAUCAAACGG
Ziziphus jujuba (common jujube) is the source of this 1158-nucleotide RNA transcript. It is a transcript of the gene named ribosomal RNA-processing protein 8, with no coding region annotated. The transcript has 10 exons. NCBI's taxonomy places the organism in Eukaryota, Viridiplantae, Streptophyta, Magnoliopsida, Rosales, Rhamnaceae. The record is from RefSeq and is a predicted model, not a curated record.